RNAcentral lists this unclassified non-coding RNA (243 nucleotides) under Hevea brasiliensis (rubber tree). Lineage: Eukaryota; Viridiplantae; Streptophyta; Magnoliopsida; Malpighiales; Euphorbiaceae. The record is from RNAcentral.
UAUGAUUCUGUUACAAACUUGGUUAAUGUUACACUUUCAAGAUUUGCUAAAAAACCAAAGUUGCCACUUUUCUCUUAUCAUAUAGAUCUCUCUCCAUUUCUCAAAGAAAAUAUGUAUGUUGGUUUUUCUGCUUCAACUGGUUUGCUUGCAAGUUCACAUUAUGUUUUUGGUUGGAGCUUUAAGUUGAAUGGCCAAGCGAAAUUUCUAGACUUGGAUUUACUUCCAUCAUUGCCUGGUCUCAAG